UGGGGAAUAUUGCACAAUGGGCGCAAGCCUGAUGCAGCAAUGCCGCGUGAGUGAAGACGGCCUUAGGGUUGUAAAACUCUUUCGCUAGGGAAGAUAAUGACGGUACCUAGUAAAGAAGUCCCGGCUAACUCCGUGCCAGCAGCCGCGGUAAUACGGAGGGGACUAGCGUUGUUCGGAAUUACUGGGCGUAAAGCGCACGUAGGCGGACCAGAAAGUUGGGGGUGAAAUCCCGGGGGCUCAACCCCGGAACUGCCUCCAAAACUAUUGGUCUAGAGUUCGAGAGAGGUGAGUGGAAUUCCAAGUGUAGAGGUGAAAUUCGUAGAUAUUUGGAGGAACACCAGUGGCGAAGGCGGCUCACUGGCUCGAUACUGACGCUGAGGUGCGAAAGUGUGGGGAGCAAACAGGAUUAGAUACCCUGGUAGUCCACACCGUAAAACGAUGAAUGCCAGUCGUCGGGUAGCAUGCUAUUCGGUGACACACCUAACGGAUUAAGCAUUCC
RNAcentral lists this ribosomal RNA (499 nucleotides) under uncultured bacterium. RNAcentral's name for it is "bacterial SSU rRNA". It matches the Rfam family "Bacterial small subunit ribosomal RNA", at positions 355 to 870 of the family's 1533-position model. The record is from RNAcentral.